ACAGCAGCAGCCGCGGUAAUACGUAGGUGGCAAGCGUUGUCCGGAAUUAUUGGGCGUAAAGCGCGCGCAGGUGGUUUAAUAAGUCUGAUGUGAAAGCCCACGGCUCGACCGUGGAGGGUCAUUGGAAACUGUUAAACUUGAGUGCGGGAGAGAAAAGUGGAAUUCCUAGUGUAGCGGUGAAAUGCGUAGAGAUUAGGAGGAACACCAGUGGCGAAGGCGGCUUUUUGGCCUGUAACUGACACUGAGGCGCGAAAGCGUGGGGAGCAAACAGGAUUAGAUACCCCAGUAGUCCCUGUCUCUUAUAC
RNAcentral lists this ribosomal RNA (305 nucleotides) under uncultured bacterium. RNAcentral describes it as "partial 16S ribosomal RNA". It matches the Rfam family "Bacterial small subunit ribosomal RNA", at positions 505 to 807 of the family's 1533-position model. The record is from RNAcentral.